CAGCAGCCACGGUAAUACGUAGGUGGCAAGCGUUGUCCGGAAUUAUUGGGCGUAAAGGGCUCGCAGGCGGUUUCUUAAGUCUGAUGUGAAAGCCCCCGGCUCAACCGGGGAGGGUCAUUGGAAACUGGGAAACUUGAGUGCAGAAGAGGAGAGUGGAAUUCCACGCGUAGCGGUGAAAUGCGUAGAGAUGUGGAGGAACACCAGUGGCGAAGGCGACUCUCUGGUCUGUAACUGACGCUGAGGAGCGAAAGCGUGGGGAGCGAACAGGAUUAGAUACCCCUGUAGUCCCUGUCUCUUAUAC
This 301-nucleotide ribosomal RNA is filed under the name uncultured bacterium. Its description in RNAcentral is "partial 16S ribosomal RNA". It matches the Rfam family "Bacterial small subunit ribosomal RNA", at positions 509 to 807 of the family's 1533-position model. The record is from RNAcentral.